CAAUAGCGUAUAUUAAAGUUGUUGCAGUUAAAAAGCUCGUAGUUGGACCUUGGACCUGGACAGGCGGUCCGCCUCACGGCGUGUACUGUCUUGCUGGGUCUUUCCUCUUGGCGAUCUGUUGUUUCGGCAGCAGGGAACCAGGACUUUUACUUUGAAAAAAUUAGAGUGUUCAAAGCAGGCUCGACGCCGGAAUAUAUUAGCAUGGAAUAAUAAAAUAGGACGUGCGGUUCUAUUUCGUUGGUUUUUGGAAUCGCCGUAAUGAUUAAUAGGGACAGUCGGGGGCAUUAGUACUCACAUGCUAGAGGUGAAAUUCUUGGAUUUUGUGAAGACUAACUUCUGCGAAAGCAUUUGCCAAGGAUGUUUUCAUUAA
This 370-nucleotide ribosomal RNA is filed under the name uncultured eukaryote. RNAcentral's name for it is "partial 18S ribosomal RNA". It matches the Rfam family "Eukaryotic small subunit ribosomal RNA", at positions 592 to 976 of the family's 1831-position model. The record is from RNAcentral.